Long non-coding RNA from Rhagoletis zephyria (snowberry fruit fly), 1366 nucleotides. RefSeq lists it as uncharacterized. NCBI's taxonomy places the organism in Eukaryota, Metazoa, Arthropoda, Insecta, Diptera, Tephritidae. The record is from RefSeq and is a predicted model, not a curated record.
UUAAUUUUCUUAUUUUCAAUUUUAUGUGAUAUUAAAAUGCUACCUGCACCUAAAUAAUAAAUCGUGGCCGAGGAAUUGAGAGAACGGGUUUACCUUACUUGCGAAUUGUUCGGGUAAACAGGUUGUAAAGAUUCAUAUAAGUACAUACAUAUGUACUACGUACGUUUAUUCGCACAAAUGAAUUAAAUUGAUUGAAAGCGCAUUGACACCGUACGCAUUUCGCUCUAGUAUGUAUACUUAUGGCUUUAUGUCGGUAUGAAAGUAAUCGCCUGUUCUGAAACUGUUUCUGAAACUAAUUAAACUUUAAUUUGAAAGUAAUAAAAACGGAAAUUCUUGAAAUAAGCUUUAUUUGAGAUAAAUAAUUUGAUAAGAAAUUUAUCAUUAAAUUGGUUAAUGUUACAUUUGCGAUUUAAAAAAAAAAAAGAGGAAAUUAUGGUAACGCUGUCCAAAUGUAAUUUUGAUCGAAACAGCUGAUCUCCAAAUCGGUUUGAGUUCGAGAGGUGUUUGUACACUCUAAGUGUCGUAUUUUUUAUUUUGAGAAUUCCCUCUUAAUACUUAAAAAAUUACAAACGUACAAUAAAAAAUAUAUAUAUAUAUUAAUUUUCACAUAUAUGACUCCUUCUUUCAGGACCACCAAUAGAUGUACCGCCAGAACCAUCCACAAAGCGAAGGAUCAUACAGAAGGACUAGAGGACGAAGAAGACAAAGAAGCAUUUUUACCAUUUAAAUCACCAUCAUAAAAUGUAAAAACUUAAUUUACUUAAUAAUGCGUCGGUCCUCUGGAUUGAACUAACCGUUUGUGUGUAUUACAAACAAACAAAACUGAAGACAACUCUUAUGUACACAAUGCUAAUGUAAUACGUACUAUGUAAUGUGCUAUACAUUUUGAACUAUGUAUUUGUAUUUGCAAAAUAAUAUGUAGAAGUGUAUUUGCAGAAAUAACAAAAACCCAAAGAUAAAUGUUAACAAAUUUUAAACUAGCAAACUUUAAAAAUUAAAAUUGUUUAAAGAUAUACUUCCGUCAUCACGAACAAAUAAAAAAAUAAAACAAUAAUAAUAAAACUACAAUAGACAAAAGACAAAAACCAAACGGCCGCGAGGCCCAAAAACGAAAAUAUGUGCUUUAGUUUAUUGAUGGAUACAAACAAAAUUUUAUUCAAAGAAUGUCUGCCAACAAAUGCAAAUGAAAUGAAGAACUGCAGCGCAAAUGUAAUAAACAAACAUAUAAAUUCAUAAGAGAACCUGAGUCCUAAGCAAACAUCAACACACCCAAUUCAGUACGCCAAUUUACACAAACAUUAAUAAAAAUAAAGGAAAAUAAUUGAGGUUUGCUUGCGAUGCAUAAGCAUCAUGAUUUACAAAAAAA